Populus euphratica (Euphrates poplar) is the source of this 2298-nucleotide RNA transcript. It is a transcript of the gene named RNA-binding KH domain-containing protein, with no coding region annotated. Lineage: Eukaryota; Viridiplantae; Streptophyta; Magnoliopsida; Malpighiales; Salicaceae. The transcript has 8 exons. The record is from RefSeq and is a predicted model, not a curated record.
UAAUUUAGAACCAAGAAGACGUUAUUUAUUUACAUCAAGCAUAUAAAUUCCCUAAAAUUUUCAAAAGGGCCCAACCUGUGCUGUUUAGCUGACUCACUGUGCACGGUCAGUGAGGCGCUGCGAGAUGGACACUCCGCCAAUAACUCCCACCAAGCGCUCCCAUACCGAACCCACACAAAUCCGGAUCCUCUGCCCGUCAUUAAAAACCGGCGCCGUCAUCGGCAAAGGGGGCUCCACCGUCCGUCAUAUCCAAUCUCUCACCGGCGCCAAAAUACGCCUCCUUGACGACCCUCACAUUCCCUAUUGUGAAGACCGCAUAAUCCUCAUUACCCUGAACAGUGGCAAAGUCCCCAAAUCAGACGACUCCAACACCGCCACCUCCGAUCACAACAAAGAAGAUGCCAAUGACGGAGAGUGCAGUUCUGGUGGUGGUGGUGGUGGUGGUGAAGAGGAGGGGUGGGGUCCAGUGAAGAAAGCCGUGGUUAGGGUUUUUGAGAAGAUAGUGAAAGGGGAUAGUGAGGAGGAGUUGAGCGAAGCUGUUGUGGUGACGUGUAAGGUUCUGAUUGGUAGUGGUGGUAGUAAUCAGGGAGGGAGUUUCUCAAAGGUUUUGGAGAAAAUUAGAGUGGAGAGUGGAGCACAAGUUAGGGUUUCGAAUCGCGAGCAAAUUCCUGCUUGUGCUUCUCCUGGUGAUGAAUUGCUUCUGAUUACUGGAAGUUUUUCAGCCGUUAAGAAAGCACUCUUGUCUGUUUCGAGUUUUAUUCAAGAUAGCCCGAGAGCAGAAACUGCCAAUUUUGGUGCAGCGGGAUUCCAUGGAAAUGCUAUGCCUGCGCAAGGUGACUUGCAUCAGUGGGGUUAUGGACCUGGUAAUCAUGCUGCAGACUAUCAUCCAAGAGGGUAUUCUCCUAAUUUUGAAGAGGACGUUGUAUUUAGGCUGUUAUGCCAGGCUGAUAAGGUUGGCAGUUUGAUAGGGAAAGGUGGCUCUGUAGUACGGGCUUUGCAAAAUGAGACGGGUGCAUCUAUCAAAAUUGCUGAAGGUGUAUCUGAUUCAGAUGAACGUGUGGUUGUCAUAUCUGCAAGAGAGAAUUCAGAACAAAGACAUUCUCCUGCUCAGGAUGCUGUUAUUCGUGUGCAAUCCAGAAUUGCAGAGAUUGGAUUUGAGCGUGGUGCCAGAAUUGUUGCCCGGCUUCUUGUGCAUCCACAACAGAUAGGUGUUUUGUUGGGUAAAGGAGGCAAGAUCAUAAAUGAAAUGAGACAUGUUACUGGUGCUAGUAUAUGCAUAUUUCCAAAGGAGCAAGCUUCAAAGUAUGGUUCUCAAACUGAAGAAGUAGUUCAGGUUCUUGGCAGCUUGCAAGCUGUACGGGAUGCUUUAUUUCAAAUAACAAGCAGACUUCGGGACACUAUAUUUCCAGUGAAGCCACCAUUCUCAAACACUGCUCCGUUGCCCUAUCCACCACCCCCAUUUCCAGAAAUGCACCCCCCUCAGUUUAGGCCAAGACCUAAUCCUACCUCUCCAGGUCCUUACCCUUCUCCUGUUGGACCUUUCCAAGGCAUGGAUCGUUCUGCUAUUCCCUCCCACCCCUUAGAUCACCAGCCUCCAUUUUCAUAUGGUAUGGAUCGCAGUGGUCCACCAAAUUUGGACCGAGCUCCUUAUUCAUAUGGUAGUGAUAGACCAGGACAUGGUCCUCCAUUUGAAAGUUCUCCAAGAUCAUGGACCACUCAGCCAUUUAGCAAUGGGAACCUUAGGGGAGGUGCUGAUCUAGGUUCUGGCUCGGUUGCAAGAAAUGGGCAUCCCUCAAGUGAGGUGAAGCAGCCAAGUGGCACAAACACUUGUAGAGCCUUGUGAUUAAAAGUCAUUAAAAAACAUGGCUAGGGAGGAAGCAUUUUUCUGACUCAUGUGAUUAUCUGCAAAUUCAUAAAGUUGCCAUAUGUUUUUGCAUUGUCAGUGGAAGUCUAGCACCGAGCAUGGCUAGCACAUCUGUUGAGGUUCUCAUUCCUCAAAAACUGCUGACUCAUGUAUAUGGAGAGAGUAAUAGUAAUUUGACUCAGAUCAGACAGAUUUCAGGUGCAAAUGUUCUCAUUCACGACCCAAAGCCCGGGGCAACCGAAGGUGUGGUGGUAGUGUCUGGAACAUCAGAUCAAAUGCGUGCUGCACAGAGCCUAAUCCAUGCCUUUAUUCUUUAUGGACAGACAACUCAUUGACCAUCUACUUAGGCAAGUGGUGAUUUGUAUAAAACUAGGCAAGAGAUGUGCAUUUGAUUUUCGAGAAAAACAGUAUGUAUAUACCAUGCUUUAGUUGUA